AAGCCCUCGAGCUCUCAACUACAAUUCAAAGUCUAUUAGGAUACUAUAAGACGGAAUGGCUGAUGCUGCUAAAUUUUCAUUAUUGAUACAGAUUCUUCUAAUAACUCUUUGUUCACUUAGCCUGCUUUGCACAGCCUUCACUACUCAAGAUUAUACUGAUGCUCUUGAAAAAUCCAUCCUAUUUUUUGAGGGUCAGCGGUCAGGAGUGUUGCCGCCUAACCAGAGGCUCAAAUGGAGGGGCAAUUCUGGGUUGUCUGAUGGCUCUAGUUAUCAUGUGAACCUAGUUGGUGGAUACUAUGAUGCAGGAGAUAAUGUCAAAUUUGGCCUUCCUAUGGCCUUUACUACUACAUUGUUGGCAUGGAGUGUCAUUGAAUUUGGCACCUCAAUGCAUAACCAGAUUGAGAAUACCAAAGCUGCCAUCCGCUGGAGCACUGAUUACCUUUUAAAAGCAGCAACUGCCACCCCCGGCACCCUCUAUGUUCAAGUUGGAGAUCCGAACUUGGAUCAUAAAUGCUGGGAGAGGCCUGAAGACAUGGACACACCACGCAAUGUGUACAAAGUGACCACUCAAAAUCCUGGAUCCGAUGUAGCUGCAGAGACAGCUGCUGCGCUGGCUGCUGCAUCAAUUGUUUUCAAAGAUUCUGACCCUUCUUAUUCUUCCAAAUUGCUUCAAACUGCAAUGAAAGUAUUCGAUUUUGCGGACAGGUACAGAGGUUCUUACAGUGAUUCUCUCAGUUCAGCAGUCUGCCCAUUUUAUUGCUCUUACUCGGGGUACCAGGAUGAGCUUCUCUGGGGUGCAUCCUGGAUUCAUAGAGCCUCACAGAACGGCUCAUACUUGGCCUACAUCCAGUCAAAUGGUCACACAAUGGGUGCUGAUGACGAUGACUACUCUUUUAGCUGGGAUGACAAGCGAGCUGGGACAAAGAUUCUUCUUUCCAAGGGAUUCUUAGAUAAACGAGUAGAAGAAUUUCAGGUAUUUAAAGCACAUUCAGACAACUACAUAUGCUCCCUAAUUCCAGGAACUUCUAGUUUCCAGGCCCAAUAUACCCCAGGUAAGUAAUUUUCUCCUUCCCUUUUGCGUUUCCGUCAAUUAUAUGGUGAAACUGAACGUAAUAUUUAUACUCUGCAGGAGGCCUUUUCUAUAAAGCAAGUGAAAGUAAUCUACAAUAUGUAACUUCGACAUCUUUCCUUCUCUUGACAUAUGCUAAAUAUCUUAGCUCCAAUGGAGGAAUUGUCACGUGUGGAGGUUCGACAGUAACAGCUGAAUCACUGAUAUCACAGGCCAAAAAACAGGUGGACUACAUUUUAGGUGAUAAUCCAGCAAAAAUGUCUUACAUGGUGGGUUUCGGAAACAGGUAUCCUCAACAUGUGCACCACAGGGGCUCCUCCGUACCAUCUAUACAUGCGCAUCCAGGGCGCAUUUCCUGCAACGAUGGCUUCCAAUACCUCUACUCUAGUUCACCUAAUCCAAAUGUCCUGAUUGGAGCCAUAAUAGGUGGUCCUGAUAAUAGAGACAAUUUUGCAGAUGAUCGAAAUAACUACCAACAAUCCGAACCUGCUACAUACAUCAAUGCACCAUUUGUUGGUGCAGUUGCUUUUUUCUCAGGAAAAAACUGAGGGAUUAGUAUCCCUCCAAUAUAAUAUAAUAUUGGAUUAUAUACUGUCACUUCCAAGCAUAGAAGAGACGGACCAUUGAGUCCACUACUGCUCCAAGCUAUCGUAUUUAUUUCUCCGAGAAGCGCUGAAAAAUUCUUAACUUCGUUCCUUUUUUUUUUUUAUUCCUAAUCUAUUGAUGAGAUGUCGCAGAUACAUACAGAGGCGAUGAGUGAAUAUCUAAAUGAAUACUUCUAUAGAAGUGAUUCACUACAAAUUUCCCAUAAAAUUUUGCCCAAGUUGGGAGUCCCCAAUUACACUAAAAUUAACAUUACGUAA
This 1932-nucleotide unclassified non-coding RNA is filed under the name Hevea brasiliensis (rubber tree). Lineage: Eukaryota; Viridiplantae; Streptophyta; Magnoliopsida; Malpighiales; Euphorbiaceae. The record is from RNAcentral.